This 86-nucleotide small RNA is filed under the name Pseudomonas fildesensis. Lineage: Bacteria; Pseudomonadati; Pseudomonadota; Gammaproteobacteria; Pseudomonadales; Pseudomonadaceae. The record is from RNAcentral.
GUCGCUGCAAAUUCAGCGGCCGGGUUUCGCAGCCCGGUUAAACUCCAGACGCACAGCGUCCACCUCAAGAUAGCGGGCGCUUUUUU